This 622-nucleotide ribosomal RNA is filed under the name Fonsecaea pedrosoi. Its description in RNAcentral is "LSU rRNA". It matches the Rfam family "Eukaryotic large subunit ribosomal RNA", at positions 33 to 670 of the family's 3401-position model. The record is from RNAcentral. Lineage: Eukaryota; Fungi; Ascomycota; Eurotiomycetes; Chaetothyriales; Herpotrichiellaceae.
UUUUUGCAUAUCCCACAAGCGGAGGAAAAGAAACCAACAGGGAUUGCCUCAGUAACGGCGAGUGAAGCGGCAACAGCUCAAAUUUGAAAUCUGGCCUCUUGGGGUCCGAGUUGUAAUUUGUAGAGGAUGUUUCGGGUACCGCCUCGGUUUAAAUUUCUUGGAACAGAAUGUCAAAGAGGGUGAGAAUCCCGUCUUGGACCGGCGGUAGGGCCUAUGUGAAACUCCUUCGACGAGUCGAGUUGUUUGGGAAUGCAGCUCAAAAUGGGUGGUAAAUUUCAUCUAAAGCUAAAUAUUGGCCAGAGACCGAUAGCGCACAAGUAGAGUGAUCGAAAGAUGAAAAGCACUUUGAAAAGAGAGUUAAACAGUAUGUGAAAUUGUUGAAAGGGAAGCGCUUGCAACCAGACUUGAGCGCGGCGGUUCCCCCUUGCUUCUGCUUGGGUUACUCCGCCGUGUCCAGGCCAACAUCGGUUCUGGGGGUCGGUCAAAGGCUCUGGGAAUGUAUCUACCCACGGGUAGACUUAUAGACCAGGGUGUCAUGCGACCUCCCGGGACCGAGGAACGCGCUUCGGCUCGGAUGUUGGCGUAAUGGUUGUCAGCGACCCGUCUUGAAACACGGACCAAA